UAAGGAAUAUUGCUCAAUGGGAGAAAUCCUGAAGCAGCAACGCCGCGUGGAGGAUGAAGGGUCUAUGACUUGUAAACUCCUGUAAAGAAGGAAAAAAUUCCCAUUUGAUGGGAGAUGAUGGUACUUCUGGAGUAAGCCCCGGCUAACUACGUGCCAGCAGCCGCGGUAAUACGUAGGGGGCAAGCGUUGUCCGGAUUUACUGGGUGUAAAGGGUGCUCAGGCGGAUUUGUAAGUCAGAGGUGAAAUCUUACAGCUUAACUGUGAAACUGCCUUUGAUACUGCAAGCCUAGGUUAUGGAAGAGAGUGAUGGAAUAUCUGGUGUAGCAGUGAAAUGCGUAGAUAUCAGAUAGAACACCAAUGGCGAAGGCAGUCACUUGGUCCAUUACUGACGCUAAAGCACGAAAGCGUGGGUAGCAAACA
RNAcentral lists this ribosomal RNA (420 nucleotides) under uncultured bacterium. RNAcentral describes it as "bacterial SSU rRNA". It matches the Rfam family "Bacterial small subunit ribosomal RNA", at positions 355 to 774 of the family's 1533-position model. The record is from RNAcentral.